CUGUAUGUAUUUUAAAACGUAUUUCACUUGAUAGGACCUCUAGUGCAAUAGUGAAUAGAAGUGGUAAGAGCAGAUAUUCGUUACUUACUUAAAAUCUUAGAGGAAGAGAUUAAAACAUUCAGCAUUUCACCAUUAAUUAUGAUUUUACCUAUAUGCUUAACAUAUAUGUUCUUUUUCAGGUUAAAUUUCUCUUCUUAGUUUGCUGAGAGUUUUUAUCACAAAUUAAUAUUGGAUUUUAUAAAUUUUUUUAGCACCUAAUGAGUUGAUCAUAUGGUUUUCCCUUUUUAUUCCGUUAAUACAGGUUAACCAUCCUUAAUCCAAAAAUCCAAAAUUCCAAAUGCUCCAAAAUCUGCAACUUUUUUGAGUGCCAACAAUGACGCCCUGCCCCAAGUGGAAAAUUCCAUAUAAGGAAUAUACCUAUAGCCACUUAGCCAGCAAGCAACAGAACUGGAAUUCAGCUGCAUAGUCUGGGCCCAUGGUCCACACUCUUCACUGCUUCAUAGCCUCCACAGUCAAAAAUCCAUGUGUAACUUUUGACUCCCCUAAAACUUAACUACGAAUAGCCUACUGUUGACUGGAAGCCUUACUGAUAAUAUAAAUGAUU
This 604-nucleotide long non-coding RNA is filed under the name Papio anubis (olive baboon). RNAcentral describes it as "lncRNA (ENSPANG00000045736.1)". The record is from RNAcentral. Lineage: Eukaryota; Metazoa; Chordata; Mammalia; Primates; Cercopithecidae.